GUCGAACGCUGGCGGCGUGCUUAACACAUGCAAGUCGAACGGUAAGGCCCUUCGGGGUACACGAGUGGCGAACGGGUGAAUAACACGUGGGUGAUCUGCCCUGCACUUCGGGAUAAGCCUGGGAAACUGGGUCUAAUACCGGAUAGGACUCCUGCCUGCAUGGGUGGGGGUGGAAAGCUUUUGCGGUGUGGGAUGGGCCCGCGGCCUAUCAGCUUGUUGGUGGGGUGAUGGCCUACCAAGGCGACGACGGGUAGCCGGCCUGAGAGGGUGACCGGCCACACUGGGACUGAGAUACGGCCCAGACUCCUACGGGGGGCAGCAGUGGGGAAUAUUGCACAAUGGGCGCAAGCCUGAUGCAGCGACGCCGCGUGAGGGAUGACGGCCUUCGGGUUGUAAACCUCUUUCAGCACAGACGAAGCGCAAGUGACAGUAUGUGCAGAAGAAGGACCGGCCAACUACGUGCCAGCCGCCGCCGUAA
Molecule: ribosomal RNA, 478 nt
Filed under: uncultured bacterium
Lineage: Bacteria
Description: partial 16S ribosomal RNA
Rfam family: Bacterial small subunit ribosomal RNA
Source: RNAcentral